This 301-nucleotide unclassified non-coding RNA is filed under the name Atractiellales sp. Its description in RNAcentral is "partial contains 5.8S ribosomal RNA, internal transcribed spacer 2, and large subunit ribosomal RNA". The record is from RNAcentral. Lineage: Eukaryota; Fungi; Basidiomycota; Atractiellomycetes; Atractiellales.
CGCAUCUUGCACUCCAUGGUAUUCCGUGGAGUAUGUCUGUUUGAGUGUCAUGUAACUCUCAAUCCUAUAUCUCUAUUUUAUAGAGAUGUUAGGGCUUGGAUCGUGAGUGUCUGCUGGACCUGUGUAUCAGCUCGCUCCAAAUGUAUUAGCGGUCUAGUAAUCUCUCCAUUGCUUGGACCUGGCGUGAUAAAAUCAUUCGCUGGGUUGUCUUCCGAAAGGGGGAGGCAAGGUGGGCUCGACAGCUUUAAACCAUCUUUAAGUGUUAGACCUCAGAUCAGGCAGGACUACCCGCUGAACUUAA